Molecule: unclassified non-coding RNA, 274 nt
Filed under: uncultured fungus
Lineage: Eukaryota; Fungi
Description: sequence contains 18S rRNA gene, ITS1, 5.8S rRNA gene, ITS2
Source: RNAcentral
AUGGGGUCAUUCUACACUUUUAAAAGGGGGUUUGUGUGAAAACGCAAGCGCCCUCCUGGAUCGGUUUGAUCCCAAAGGGUGCCCACGCGGUGGUGCACAAAAGGGUGAGAUGGAUUUUAUGCGAGAGGACACGCUCCGGGCGUGCACGACCUUUUGCGUUAAAAAGUCAGCGACAGCCCUCACAUGCCUCACACAUUUUGUACGAUAAUGAUCCUUCCGCAGGUUCACCUACGGAAACCUUGUUACGACUUUUACUUCCUCUAAAUGACCAAGA